AAUCUGACCUCAAAUCAGGUAGGGCUACCCGCUGAACUUAAGCAUAUCAAUAAGCGGAGGAAAGGAAACUAACAAGGAUUCCCUUAGUAACGGCGAGUGAACCGGGAAGAGCUCAAAUUUGUAAUCUGGCGUGCUCUGUGCGUCCGAGUUGUAAUCUAUAGAAGUGUUUUCCGCGCCGGAUCGUGUCCAAGUUCCUUGGAAUAGGAUAUCAUAGAGGGUGACAAUCCCGUCCUUGACACGACUACCGGUGCUCUGUGAUACACUUUCUACGAGUCGAGUUGUUUGGGAAUGCAGCUCAAAAUGGGUGGUGAGUUCCAUCUAAAGCUAAAUAUUGGCGAGAGACCGACAGCGAACAAGUACCGUGAGGGAAAGAUGAAAAGCACUUGAAAGAGAGUAAACAGUA
This 403-nucleotide ribosomal RNA is filed under the name Tremella lobariacearum. RNAcentral describes it as "eukaryotic LSU rRNA". It matches the Rfam family "Eukaryotic large subunit ribosomal RNA", at positions 1 to 397 of the family's 3401-position model. The record is from RNAcentral. Lineage: Eukaryota; Fungi; Basidiomycota; Tremellomycetes; Tremellales; Tremellaceae.